UACGUAGGGGGCAAGCGUUGUCCGGAAUUAUUGGGCGUAAAGCGCGUGUAGGCGGCUCGGUAAGUCCGCUGUGAAAGUCCAAGGCUCAACCUUGGAAUGCCGGUGGAUACUGUCGAGCUCGAGUCCGGAAGAGGCGAGUGGAAUUCCUGGUGUAGCGGUGAAAUGCGCAGAUAUCAGGAGGAACACCGGUGGCGAAGGCGGGUCUCUGGGCAGUAACUGACGCUGAGGAGCGAAAGCGUGGGUAGCAAACAGG
Molecule: ribosomal RNA, 253 nt
Filed under: uncultured bacterium
Lineage: Bacteria
Description: partial 16S ribosomal RNA
Rfam family: Bacterial small subunit ribosomal RNA
Source: RNAcentral